CCUACGGGAGGCAGCAGUAGGGAAUUUUGCGCAAUGGGCGAAAGCCUGACGCAGCAACACCGCGUGAAUGUUAAGCCCUUCGGGGUGUAAAGUUCUGUCAAUAGGGACGAAUUUUGACUGUACCUAUAAAGGAAGCACCGGCUUACUACGUGCCAGCAGCCGCUGUAAUACGGGGGGUGCAAGCGUUGUCCGGAAUCAUUGGGCGUUAAGCGGUCGUAGGGGGCAAGUUAAGUCUGAUGUUAAAGCCCGGGGCUCAACUCCGGUUCGGCUAUGGAUACUAUCGAGCUAGCAGUUGGUAGAGGUAAAGGGAAUUGCUGGUGUAGCGGUGAAAUGCGUAGAAAUCAGGAGGAACAUCGGUGGCGAAAGCGCUUUACUGGACCAUUAUUGACGCUGAGGAACGAAAGCCAGGGGAGCAAAUGGGAUUAGAUACCCGUGUAGUC
RNAcentral lists this ribosomal RNA (440 nucleotides) under uncultured bacterium. RNAcentral describes it as "partial 16S ribosomal RNA". It matches the Rfam family "Bacterial small subunit ribosomal RNA", at positions 338 to 795 of the family's 1533-position model. The record is from RNAcentral.